This 250-nucleotide ribosomal RNA is filed under the name uncultured bacterium. RNAcentral describes it as "partial 16S ribosomal RNA". It matches the Rfam family "Bacterial small subunit ribosomal RNA", at positions 86 to 339 of the family's 1533-position model. The record is from RNAcentral.
CGCUGACGAGUGGCGGACGGGUGAGUAACGCGUAGGAAUCUGCCUUAUAGUGGGGGACAACGUGGGGAAACCCACGCUAAUACCGCAUACGCCCUACGGGGGAAAGCGGGGGACCUUCGGGCCUCGCACCAUAAGAUGAGCCUAUGUCAGAUUAGCUAGUUGGUAGGGUAAAGGCCUACCAAGGCGACGAUCUUUAGCUGGUCUGAGAGGAUGAUCAGCCACACUGGGACUGAGACACGGCCCAGACUCC